RNAcentral lists this unclassified non-coding RNA (100 nucleotides) under Oryza sativa (Asian cultivated rice). RNAcentral's name for it is "partial microRNA MIR425p precursor". The record is from RNAcentral. Lineage: Eukaryota; Viridiplantae; Streptophyta; Magnoliopsida; Poales; Poaceae.
AGAGAUCAACGUGACCCCUGCACCGGCGCCCUGAAGUGACAGAGAACCGUCGAACUGCAUCACCCAGUGGGCGGUUUGAGGCAGCUGUGAGGGGUCCGUG